Molecule: ribosomal RNA, 927 nt
Filed under: Triticum aestivum (bread wheat)
Lineage: Eukaryota; Viridiplantae; Streptophyta; Magnoliopsida; Poales; Poaceae
Description: partial small subunit ribosomal RNA
Source: RNAcentral
CAUCAAGUGCGCGCAGCCAUGUCUUCCUCCUCCGCCUCCUUCCAGCCGCUGCUCGGCGGUGGAGCCCCGAAGAAGCUCACCCGUAGCAACUGCAUUCUGUGGCGGACACAGAUCAUGCCGCAGCUGCGGGGCGCCGGCCUCUUCCACUACGUCGAUGGCAUGGCAACCGAGCCGGCCAAAGUCCUCACUACCAAGGACGCCGCCGGCAAGGAGACCACUGGGUCGAAUCCCCUUCAUCCGCUCUGGGUGAGGGAGGAUCAGCAGGUCCUCGGAUAUGUGCUCCAACACCUCUCUAAGGAGGUGCUCGUCACGGUGACCACGAUCACCGCGGCACGCGGCCUCUGGGUUGCACUGGCGAACAUGUUCUCAUCACAGUCACUCAGCCGCGUUAACAACAUUCGCACAGUGCUGAUCAAUGUGCAGAAGGGCAAUCAAUCGGUGGCCACCUUCUUCGUCGCCACGAGGGGUCUCGCCGAUGAACUCGCCGCGGUGGGAAAACCCAUCGAGGACGACGAGCUCAUCUCCUACAUCAUCCACGGGCUGGACCAAGACUAUCAGCCCCUCGUCUCCGCAUUAGAUGCCCGUGUCACCCCAGUAACCCCUGAUGAACUUUUUUCCAUGCUCAGUAACUUUGACCAACGCAUGGCGCAGUAUCAUGGCCCCGGUGGUGGCUUCAAAUCGUCAGCCAACUCUGCAUCCAGAGGCCACGGUGGUGGAUCUCGCUCGAGUUCAUCUUCCCGUGGCAAGGGGAGGUUUGGCUCCGGCGGUGGUGGCUACUCCAACAACUCACGCGGCGGCGGACGCUCUAGUAACUCCAAAGGGCGUCAUGGUGGUGGCAGUGGCGGUCCCAACAGAUCCCGUCCGAACUUGCCUCGCUGCCAAAUUUGCGGCAAGCCUGGCCAUACGGCAAAGGACUGUUGGUACCGC